This 566-nucleotide ribosomal RNA is filed under the name Acinetobacter calcoaceticus. Its description in RNAcentral is "bacterial SSU rRNA". It matches the Rfam family "Bacterial small subunit ribosomal RNA", at positions 92 to 653 of the family's 1533-position model. Lineage: Bacteria; Pseudomonadati; Pseudomonadota; Gammaproteobacteria; Moraxellales; Moraxellaceae. The record is from RNAcentral.
UUAGCGGCGGACGGGUGAGUAAUGCUUAGGAAUCUGCCUAUUAGUGGGGGACAACAUUUCGAAAGGAAUGCUAAUACCGCAUACGUCCUACGGGAGAAAGCAGGGGAUCUUCGGACCUUGCGCUAAUAGAUGAGCCUAAGUCGGAUUAGCUAGUUGGUGGGGUAAAGGCCUACCAAGGCGACGAUCUGUAGCGGGUCUGAGAGGAUGAUCCGCCACACUGGGACUGAGACACGGCCCAGACUCCUACGGGAGGCAGCAGUGGGGAAUAUUGGACAAUGGGCGGAAGCCUGAUCCAGCCAUGCCGCGUGUGUGAAGAAGGCCUUAUGGUUGUAAAGCACUUUAAGCGAGGAGGAGGCUACUUUAGUUAAUACCUAGAGAUAGUGGACGUUACUCGCAGAAUAAGCACCGGCUAACUCUGUGCCAGCAGCCGCGGUAAUACAGAGGGUGCAAGCGUUAAUCGGAUUUACUGGGCGUAAAGCGCGCGUAGGCGGCUAAUUAAGUCAAAUGUGAAAUCCCCGAGCUUAACUUGGGAAUUGCAUUCGAUACUGGUUAGCUAGAGUGUGGGA